GGUGUGGUGGGGUAGUGGUUAGCCCAGGGCCAAUAGUAUCUGCAUAUGCACAAUAUUGAGUAGAACCCAGACACAAGUUCAAAUCUUGCCUGCACCC
Molecule: non-coding RNA, 97 nt
Organism: Gymnopus androsaceus JB14
Lineage: Eukaryota; Fungi; Basidiomycota; Agaricomycetes; Agaricales; Omphalotaceae
Source: the annotation of a GenBank genome assembly